GUUUUUGUAGGUAAAAAUCACUCAAAGGAAAGAGAACAAGGCAAAAGGAGGAAAAAUGACUAAAAUUGUGAAGUUGGAGGCCAAGGCAAAAAAGUCAAAAAGUGGAGGAUUUGGGAUGCAAUUUAUGGAGGGUAAAAUCGAAAUGGAAGUCAAAAUUCGAGAACCAAAUUGUACAAAAUCAAAGUUGAGGGACUAGCAUGCAUUAUUUGAAACUUGACUUCAAAAAGAAAAUAAUUUUCUGGUUUUGGGCAGAGAACCAGGCGCCACUGUUCCGGUGCCGCGGCGCCCAUUUUAAAAGAAAAAAACGAGUUGGGGACCUUUUUGUUAACUUUUGAAACUUUAGGGACCAAGUUCGCAAUUUUCCUUAGGUUUUAAUUUAAAAACCAACAGCUUCUGCUGGGUUCCGUCUUCUGCUAGUUCUUUCUUUCAUUUUCUUUUCUUUUUAUUUUCAUUUUACUUGGCAUUUUGGCGAUUAAAUCAAGGAGCACAACAAAGGAGAAUACAUUGAGGUGGAGAAAUCUUAGGGAAAUCAAGUUCAAGCUACAAAAAUGGGGAAAUUUAUCUAUAAACUUGUAUUUUCUCCAUUAUUUUGCCAUAUUUGUAAUGCAUUGCUAUAAACAUUCUCUUUUCCAUCAUAUAUAUAAAAUGGGCUAGUUAAUUGGGUUGGGAUUUAUGGUGUUGGUUUAACCUAGUUUUAAUUGAUUUUCAAUAUUUGCUCUUUAAUGUUAUGUGUUUCUAUUAUUGUAUUUAUUUCAUUUUCAUUUAUGUGGCCAAUGAAUUAAUGUGUUUCGUGAUUUGUAUAUCAUUCGAGAGAUGAUUGUGCAUUUUAGAUCAAAUGGUAGAAACCCUAGGUUUUUGUAGAGGAUAGAUAUAUACCUUUAGCCCUAGGUGACCCAAUGAGCUAUUUUCAUAACAAUUUAAUGCGGUUGUUUGGUUGUAAUCGACAUAGAGAUAUAAUAGGUUAAACCAAUCAAUUAUGGUUAAUUUCACUCGAGAGAGGUAAUUAGCUAAAAUUGGAAAAUCGGGUCUAACAUUGUAAAUGAGUAAUUCGUUAAUUGGCAUGUGGAGAAAUUAAUUAAGUGACGGUUAAGCGAAACCAUGAAUUCCAACCACGUUUUCCUCCAAAAUUUUCAAGAUUUCCAUAUUUUCUUAGUUUGUAUGUUUUUUCUUAGUUUCUAAAAUCAACUCUUUAUUGUGUGUUUGUUUAUUUUCAUUGUUAGAAUUAAAUUGAUUAAAGUUGUGUAAUUUAAAGUAAACGUUUCUCGAGGGAUCGACAAUCCGGACUUAAAAGGUCCACUUUAUUACUUGAACGCGACCCGUGCACUUAUAGUAAUAUUUUAGCAAACAAGUUUUUGGCGCUGUUGCCGGGGAAUGUUUUAUUUCAAUUAUCAUCUUUUGUUGAUUCUAAUUUUUACAAGUUUCAUUCUUUUUUCUUUUGCAUAGCUUUUAUAUAUUUAUUGUGUAAUUAACUUUUAAUUUAGAUUUCCUUAAGUCUUUGGUGGUGCAUGCUUCGUUCGAGAAGUUUUGAUCUUUUUGAGCUUGAUCCGGAUAUUGAAAAAACUUUCCGAAGAAGGCGACGGGAACAAAGGAAAUUGAGAAGGCAACAAUUGAUUGAGAUGGCACACCAAGGGAGUAAUUUGGAACAUAAUGCUCAACCGGAAAAUGUUCCUCGAGGUGGCAUUCCACCGGGUUUUGGUAACCAAGUGGGUAGAGCUCAAGAGCCUAUUGUAAAUGAGGAAGAUAUGCUAUUUGGGGACUUUAUGAACCCACCCGUAGUAGAGAAUGAAUCAAGUAUUGUCUACCCUCCAUAUGGACAUCCAAACUUUCAAUUUCGUUUGGAUGUUAUUAGUUUGUUCUCCAAUACCAUUCCAUUCUAUGGAAGGAUUGAUGAGAAUCAUCACUCACAUGUUGCACGAUUCAUAGAGAAUGUUGGAAAUUUUAAAUAUGAAGGCGUAAAUGUGGAGACGAUCCGGAUGAGGUUAUUUGUUCACACAUUGAAGGAUAAGUCAAGGGAAUGGCUUGAGACUCUAUGCUCAGAAGUAUAAAUAGUUGGUUGGAAUUUAUUCAAAAAUUCACAACCAAAUUCUUUCCACCCACCUGAGUAGCCAAACUCAAGCAUGACAUAACCACUUUUCAACAAUUUGAAUUUGAGAGCUUUCACGAGGCUUGGGAGAGGUUCAAGGAUAUGUUUCGAAAAUGUCCAAAUCAUGGAAUCACAGUGGGGCAACAAGUGAAUUAUUUUUAUACCGGGUUGACUCCUUCUUGCCGUUCAAAUGUGGAUUCAUCAUCUAAUGGCUCAAUCAAGAAGAAAUGUAUUCGAGAAGCAUAUGAUCUAUUUGAGGCCAUGAGUGAACAAAGUGCUAUGUUUCCGGAUAGAGGUUCACAAAGAGGAGUUGGUGGAGAUCGAGAUGGUGAAGCUUUCUCAAUGGUUCUAGCAAAGAUCGACUCACUAGCAAAGAAGGUAGAAGGACUUUCUACAUCUACCUUGAGCUCUCAUUCUGCUCAUAUGGUAUAAUCUCCACAUAUUUGUGAUAUUUGUGGAGCAAAUCACCCAAGCUCGAGUUGUCCAUUGAUAGGUAGUGGUUCAGCAUCUACCGAGCAAGUGACAUAUACUCAAAACUUUCAACACCAAGGGUACAAUCUUUAUUCGCAAAGUUAUAACCCUGGUUUGCGGAAUCAUCCGAACUUUUCUUAUGGAAAUAAUCAAAAUGUGCUCAACCCGAAGCCACAAGAGAAAAAAGAAGGUUGGGAAGAGGCCAUUGCUAAGUUGGCAAACCAUCAAUUGCAAUAUCAAGAAUGCAAUGAUGCCUCUUUGAAAAACUUGGAAUGUUAAGUGGGUCAAAUUGUCAAGUUUAUCUCCGAAAGGCAACAUGGGGCAUUGCCUAGCAACACCAAAACAAAUCCAAAGGAGAAUGUACAAGCUAUUACCACUAGAAGUGGGGUGCAACUGCCCGAAAUCACAGUGACAUGCCUUAAGGGUCAAACCGACAAGGCACCCAUUGAAGAAGAAAGGAUUAUGCAAGAACUUAUCCAAAGGAUGAGACACUAAUUGAAGAAGAAUCGGAUCCAUCAAUAUCAAAGGCUCCAAUACCGGUCAAAGCCUAUGUGCCUCCUAUUCCCUUCCCACAAAGGCUUCACAAAUAGAAAUUGGAUGUUCAAUUUGGAAUUUUUUUUUGAGGUAUUCAAGAAGCUACACAUAAACAUUCCGUUUGCCGAUGCAUUAGUUGAAGUGUCGAGUUAUGCCAAAUUUAUGAAGGAAAUUCUUUCAAACAAAAGAAAACUCGAAGAACAUGAGACAGUAAUGCUAACGGAAGAGUGUAGUGCUAUCCUUCAAAAGAAGCUACCAUCGAAAAUCAAAGAUCCAGGGAGUUUUACUAUUUCAUGCACUAUUGGAGAUUUAAAUUUGGGUAAAGCUUUAUGUGAUCUUGGUGCCAGUAUUAAUUUGACGCCUUUGUCUAUUUUCAAGAAGCCGGGAUUGGGAUAAGCUAAUGCCACCACUGUAUCAUUACAAUUGGCUGAUCGAUCAAUUAAAUAUCCUCAGGGUGUCAUUGAGGAUGUAUUGGUCAAGGUGGACAAAUUCAUAUUUCCAGCCGAUUUCAUAAUUCUUGACAUGGAAGAGGAUCAUGACAUCCCUAUCAUGCCUUUGUCUAUUUUCAGGAAGCUGGGAUUGGGAUAAGCUAAUGCCACCACCGUAUCAUUACAAUUGGCUGAUCAAUCAAUUAAAUAUCCUCGGAGUGUCAUUGAGGAUGUAUUGGUUGAUGUGGACAAAUUCAUAUUUCCAGCCAAUUUCAUAAUUCUUGACAUGGAAGAGGAUCAUGACAUCCCUAUCAUUUUUGGACGACCAUUUCUUGCCACCGACCGAGCUUUGAUUGAUUUGUAAGAGGGGCAGCUCAAUCUAAGAGUCCAAGAUGAAAAAGUUACAUUCAAUAUCUUGAAGGCCAUCAAGUAUCCAUCGGAAUCUGAUUCAUGCCUUUGAGUAGAUGUUGUUGAUCAUGUAGUUGCCGAGUGUUUUUAUAGGCUUUCUAAGGAUCCUUUAGAAACAUGUCUUGUUUGUCCUUUGGCUAUCAAAGAGGAAGAUCUUGAAGUCGAGCAUAUGGUACACUAUUUGGAGGCUACACCUUCUCGGUCUUAUAAGAGAGCAUCAAAUUAUGAGGACUUGGAAAAGAGCUCUUCACCACCACUACCAUCUCUUCAACAUGCACCUAUACUUGAUUUGAAGCCUCUUCUAUCUCAUUUGAGGUAUGCUUAUUUGGGAGAGUCAUCUAUGCUUCCGGUUAUCAUUGCUAAUUCCUUAAAUGAAUUGGAGGAAGAGAAGUUACUUUUGGUGUUGAGAGAGCACAAGGGAGCCAUUGGUUAGACUAUUGCAGACAUUAAGGGAAUUAGUCCUUCACUAUGCAUGCACAAAAUCCUUAUGGAGGAUGAUUUCAAACCAUCAGUGGAGCAUCAAAGGCAGUUGAACCCCAACAUGAAAGAAGUGGUAAGAGCCGAGGUGGUAAAGUGGCUUGAUGCGGGUAUUAUUUAUCCGAUUUCAGAUAGUGCAUGGGUGAGCCUCGUUCAAGUGGUGCCAAAGAAAGGAGGUGUCACGGUUGUGAAAAAUGAGGAUAAUGAGCUUAUACCUACUAGACACAUGACUGGUUGGAGGGUAUGCAUAGAUUACCGCAAGCUUAAUAAGGUUACAAGGAAGGAUCACUUUCCUCUUCCUUUUAUUGAUCAAAUGCUUGAGCGGUUAGCGGGGUAUUCUCAUUAUUGUUUUUUGGAUGGAUAUUCAGGCUAUAACCAAAUUCCUAGAGCCCUAGAGGAUCAAGAGAAAACUACAUUCACAUGCCCAUAUGGUACAUUUGCAUAUAGAAGGAUGCCCUUUGGCCUUUGCAAUGCACUCGCCACUUUCUAAAGAUGUAUGAUGGCUAUAUUCUCCGACAUGGUGGAGAAAUGUAUUGAGGUUUUUAUGGAUGAUUUCUCGGUAUUUGGGGCCUCAUUUGACGGAUGUUUGAGCAAUUUAGAGUUGGUGUUGAAAAGAUGUGAGGAGAUAAAUUUAGUACUUAAUUGGGAAAAAUGUCAUUUCAUGGUCCAAAAAGGCAGAGUUUUCGGCCAUCAGAUUUCACGUUAGGGGAUAGAGGUUGACAAGGCAAAAAUCCAAGUUAUUGAGAAACUACCUCCACCUACCUCGGUGAAAGGGAUAAGGAGUUUUUUGGGACAUGCCGGAUUUUAUAGGAGGUUUAUCAAGGACUACUUGAAGAUCACAAAGCCACUUUGCUCCUUACUUGAGAAGAACACUCCAUUUGAUUUCUCUCAAGAGUGCCUCCAUGUUUUUAACACUCUUAAAGAGAAACUCAUCACGACUCCUAUCAUUGUAGCUCCGAAUUGGAAUUUACCAUUUGAGCUUAUGUGCGAUGCAAGCGAUUAUGUCGUUGGAGGAGUUUUAGGGCAAAGGAUAAAUAAAAUCUUGCAUGUUAUUUCCUAUACUAGCCGGACUUUGACUGAUGCUCAACUGAACUAUGCCACUACUGAAAAAGAGAUGCUCGCAGUGGUAUUUGCAUUUGAUAAAUUUCGAUCUUACCUCAUUGGAUCGAAAGUGAUUGUUUACACGGACCACUCAGCCCUCAAGUAUUUGCUAGCAAAGAAAGAUGCCAAGCCUUGGUUAAUUAGAUGGGUUCUUCUUCUACAAGAGUUUGACUUGGAAAUUUACGAUAAAAAAGGGAUCGAAAAUGUUGUUGCCGAUCAUUUGCUCGACUUGAGCAAACCAAAGAGGUGGUGGAUGGGGGAGAUAAAUGAGGUAUUUCCCGAUGAACAACUCUUGCAAAUUAUGCAUCUUCUACAAGCCACCCAUAUACCAUGGUAUGCGGACCAUGUGAACUUUCUUGCUAGUGACAUCAUUCCCUCGGAUCUCUCAUACCAACAAAGGAAGAAGUUCUUUGCCGACAUCAAGCAUUAUUUUUGGGACGAUCCUUUGUUGUUCAAACGGGGCCCAGAUCAAAUUAUUCGAAGAUGUGUGCCGGAAGAUGAAAUUGAGCAAAUCCUUGAACAAUGUCAUUCCUCACCCUAUGGUGGUCACUUCGGGGCUGUAAAAACCGCAACAAAGGUACUUCAAUCUGAUUUUUAUUAGCCCACAUUAUUCAAAGAUGCUCAUAUUCUUGUCUCUAAGUGCGACAAAUGCCAACGCAUUGGUAAUAUUUCCAACCGAAAUGAAAUGCCUUUGAAUUCUAUAUUAGAGGUGGAGAUUUUUGAUAUAUGGGGUAUUGAUUUUAUGAGACAUUUUCCUCCUUCAUUCUCAAAUCAAUACAUAUUGGUAACGGUUGAUUAUGUGUCAAAGUGGGUAGAAGCGGUGGCUUUGCCCACUAAUGAUGCUCGGGUGGUAGUAAACUUUUUAAAGAAAAAUAUUUUCUCUCGCUAUGGUACCCCCCUAGCUAUCAUUAGUGAUGGAGGUAAACAUUUUUGUAAUCGCCUCUUCGACUCAGUAUUGACCAAAUAUGGAGUAAAGCAUCGUGUAGCCACUCCCUAUCAUCCCCAAACUAGUGGCCAAGUUGAAAUAUCGAAUCGGGAGUUGAAGAGGAUUCUUGAAUUGAUGGUGAAUGCCUCUAGAAAAGAUUGGUCCAAGAAAUUGGAUCAUGCAUUAUGGGCUUAUCGUACCACGUUCAAAACGCCCACUGGUAUGUCUCCUUAUCGUCUUUUAUUUGGGAAAGCUUGCCACCUCCCAGUAGAACUUCAGCAUCGAGCUUAUUAGGCAGUAAAAGCUUUGAAUUUUGAUGUGAAAUUGGCCGAUGAGAAAAGAUUGCUCCAAUUGAAUGAACUGGAUGAAAUCUGCCUUGACUCUUAUGAGAAUGCUAAAAUUUACAAAGAAAAAACAAAGAAAUGACAUAAUAAACACAUUGUGAAACGCAAGUUCUUUGUUGGGAAACAAGUUUUUCUCUACAAUUCUCGACUCCGAUUGUUUCUCGAAAAGCUCUGCUCGAGAUGGUCUGGUCCUUUUACCAUUGCUAAGAUUUUUCUACAUGGAGCAAUUGAACUUCAUCAUGAGGAAAAGGGAAACUUCAAGGUUAACGGGCAACGAUUGAAACCAUACUUUGGAGGUGAUUUUUCUAAGGAGAAAUCCUCCAUUCCUCUUGUCAAUUUAGAGUAAACAAGGCCUAUAGUCGAGCUAGGGACUAUAACCAAGCGAUUGUUGGGAGGCAACCCAACUUUCUUAUCCUUACACUUUUGUUUAUGUUAUUUGUGAUUAAUACUUUUGUUAUUACAUUUUGAAUUAAUACAAUUCUUUUGUAGGUCAAAAUUUUUGAAGUCCUAACCACCCAUAGAUCUCAACAAGUUUGGGGGUGCAUGGUCCACUAAGUCAUAAAUCAAAAAUUCAUCUACAACAUCCUUCAACAAACACCUAAUCGGGGAAGUUUUGUUAUCCCUGUCCUCUUUAUCUUGUUCCUUACACAUUGAGAACAAUGUGUGGCUUAAGUUUGGGGGUGAUUGUGCUUGAAUUGGUGAAAUUAUGUUGAUAUGUUAGAUUGCCUUGCCGACUUUACAUGAUUUUGAUGUUUGAAAUUGUUAUUGAUUCAUGAGUUAUGCAUACAUGACCAAAUAUGCUAUUUGUGCGUAAUUUUUUUCAAAAAAAAAAAAUUGCUUAUCUAUCGUGAGAUUUUGAAUUACUUUGAGCACAAUAGUCAUGAUUUAUUGUUAUCUAGAUGUGAAAUUUUUUUGAUUGAAGGAUAAAUUUUUGAAUUGGUUGAACUAGGUUGUGACUUGUGAGUUGUUUGGAAAUUUUUAUCAAUCUAUAUUCUAUUUUCUUUCACUUUACCAUAUCGUGAGAUAAGUUUGGGGGUGGUCAAGCCGGUGAAGGAGAUUAUCUAGAAGUGUGUGAUUUCGUGCAUGUUGAAAAUAUUUGUGUGGAGUGUCUUUUGCCGAGCAUAAGCUAGGUAAUGACCGUAUGCUAGGAUCUAAGCCCCAUUUUUGUUGUGUUAAAAAAAAUGAAGUUAUUGUACUUGUUGAAUCUUGGGCCUCACUUCGUAGCUUUUUGACUCGAUUUAUUAAGUCCGUAGGGGUAUUUUGAAACCCGAUACCCUUUGCCCUAAACAACGGGGAGUUAUCGACCUAAAGCUCGCUACAAGGGUCAAGAAGAAAGCUUAAGGGAGUAAGGUAAAACAUGAGAUUCGGCUAAAAAGAAAAAAAAAAGAGAAAAAAAUGUUAUUGAUAUUUGGGCUUAGGUAACUAGUAGGUUUGAAUUGCUUAGUAUAAACUUGAAUAUGAAAGCAUUCAUUAGUAGAGAAUCAUCACAUGACUAGAGAUUGAUAUUACUGGUUAGACCCAACCGAACUAGAGCAGGAAAAGAAAUGAGUGAAUUGAGAGCAGCCUUAGAUUUAUACCUCGGGGAAAGAAAUGAAUAUCUAUUUGAGGAGUGUAAAUUUCACGAGUGGGAAAGAAAAUAUUUAACUACAAAGGGUCUGGUUGAAGCCAAUUUAAAGAUUUUUCCAUCUUGAUAAAUUUUUCCUAAUUUAGAUGAUAAUUGAAAGUGACUAUACACAUACACACCGAUCGAACAUUAGAUAAACUCAAAUUAUUUUUUGUUAGCAUUAUUUGGAGCAUAUUUGUCAAUUGAUUAUACAAUUUUACACAUUGAUAUUUUUGGCAAGCUAUUUAGUGUGUUGACAAUGAUCACUUUUGUUUGAUUGUGUGGUAGAUAAUCUUGAUCGGGACAAGUAAGAGUUUAAGUUUGGGGGUGUGAUAAGUGUGUUUUUGCACACUUAUUGGGCACUUAAUUUGAUAUAAUUAUUGAUGAAAAGAAUGAAAUUCUAUUCAUAGUUAAGUAAUAUUUGCUUUUAUAGGUAAAAAUCACCCAAAGGAAAGAGAACAAGGCAAAAGGAGGAAAAAUGACUAAAAUUGUACAAAAUUGUGAAGUUGGAGGCCGAGGCAAACAAGUCAAAAAGUGGAGGAUUUGGGAUGCAAUUUAUGGAGGGCAAAAUCGAAAUGGAAGUCAAAAUUUGAGGACCAAAUUGUACAAAAUCAAAGUUGAGGGACUAGCAUGCAUUAUUUGAAACUUGGCUGCAAAAAGAAAACCAUUUUCUGAUUUUGGGCAGAGA
RNAcentral lists this long non-coding RNA (9062 nucleotides) under Olea europaea subsp. europaea. The record is from RNAcentral. Lineage: Eukaryota; Viridiplantae; Streptophyta; Magnoliopsida; Lamiales; Oleaceae.